This is a long non-coding RNA of Humulus lupulus (European hop), 681 nucleotides long. RefSeq lists it as uncharacterized. The transcript has 3 exons. The record is from RefSeq and is a predicted model, not a curated record. NCBI's taxonomy places the organism in Eukaryota, Viridiplantae, Streptophyta, Magnoliopsida, Rosales, Cannabaceae.
ACUAAUACAUUCAGUGACUUGAAGGUCUGUACUUAUUUGACUUCAGUUGAUUAGUGAAUAAUAUUGUAAAGUUUGGCAAAAAUGCAGAUUGAUACCACUAGUAAUUUUGCUAACUUUGAACUUCUCUUUUGCAGGUUGUGAAUAUCUUGCCCCAGAAAGGUGGAGCUCCACCGAAGUUCGGUCAAAGAACGCAGUGAUGUAGGCUAAACUCGUCAGUACGUCAGAGCUGUCUUUCUACAUUUAUGCUUCGUACUUCCUAGAAAUUUCAUGAUCUUCCUAUGCAUGCAGAGGGAAGAAGCAGUAUGAACCACCUGGGUACAUGACAAUAAAGACUGCCAUUGAGCAGUUCCUGGAAGUUGUGCAAGAAAAAGUAGAAUCUGGUAAUGAUAACUACUACUAUUACUCUAUAACUCACUCAUGUCUUAACUUUGAAUUUCAAAGAACUAAAUCAGACAUAGUUUAUCAAUUUAACAUUGAAUGUUGUUGUAUUAUGUUGCGUUGCAGUCUGCAAUGAAGACACGGAGUGUGUUGGUUUUGCUAGAAUUGGAAGUGAAGAUCAGAUCAUUGCGGCUGGUACAAUGAAGCAACUUCAAUUGCAUGUUUUUUUCCUAUCAAAUAGUACUGUAGGAGUGUGAAACUACUCAAAUUUUGACGUGUUAUUAUGUAAAAAAUUAAACUCUU